CCAUCGCAUUGAUAUUCAUUCUUUUCUCUUCAUCUCCUGCAAACAACAGUAACCGAUGGAACAAAUCUUCCUCUUCUCUCCCAUAAAAGCACUAGACCUGCGUUGUCUCCAUCAUCCUCAUCCCCACCAUAACUGGGGAUGCGGUGCCCCUGCUCUGAUAUGAAUCCCCACAGGCGCCAACACUCCACUUCAUCCCACGCGUCAAUUCAGGAUUUCAGGUUGUGCUCCGCCCGGCUCGAGAGUUCAUCCAUAAAUCUCCCCGCCACCUGAUUUGAUUGGAUUUUGGUUGGAUUAUACAAGCUGCUCGAGAUCCACAAAAUUCGUUGAGAAGCGGCCACCCGCAUCUGAAAUUCGUUGAGGAACACCACGGGUAGAGAUCUGGAAAAUCCGUGCUCUCCGAAUCUCCAAACAUGUUAUAUUUUCAUCAGGAUCGCUGCCACCAUAAGGAACUUUUUUCCGACAGUCUCGUGGUUCAUACAAACCUCGAUUGGGCUGCCAUUUAUAGUGGGAUAAAAGGUCCUCCAAAUUAUGCUAGCUGAAUAACUUCUGUCAACAGCAUACAAUUGGUGCUCUAAGCGCAUGCUUUGUAUUCUUCUUGCAGGUUAAUGUUACAAGUGCAUUAGAAAAAGAAGUAUUCUGCGUUGAUUUUUGUACCAUUGCUCCGGGUUGUGUUACAAAAUGUAUGAAUGUAUUCGCUCAAUACACAAUCUUGGCCAUGAGUCACAAGAAGGUUCUUCAUGUCUGCAUUCUUGCUCAGCUAUGUGCAAUUACCAACUACUGAGCAUAUCUUUUGAGGUCUGAAUCAAGUUUGAUUGACCUUGGCUAUUUCUAUGAAUAUGUAGACAUUAUUUACCCACAGCACUAGCACAACAAUCGUGAUGCUAUCCACCUUUUAUUCAAUUUAGUAUAUUGCAAGAUGCCCUCUUUAUCUUCCAAUUCAGUCAGGUGAUGUUGUACCAUAUAUGAAGACUGCAGAGAAGUCUGUCUUCAGUUCUUUACCAAGGAAUGCAGAGAAGUCAGUCUUCUGUUCUUUACCAAGGAAUGGGAAGAACAUAUUUUCAUAUAAUACUACUGCCAACCACAUUGGAUCUAUGGUCAGUCCAUUGUAUGUUAUAGUAUACUUUAUCUUCAUCCAUUUCUUCAUUGUUGGAAUAAUGAAUCUGUUUAAUUUACUUAUCGUCUUACAUGAGACAGCUUUUAGGGCGGUGCAUACAUCCAGCGAGUGUUCAAAUGCAUAAGUUUAUUUAGCAAGUGCUUAAUCUACUAUACGUACUACCUGUACGAGGUGUCUUAUCGCCAUUGCUUUACCCCUUCAAAUAUAUAGUUAUAUUUUCUCAUUCACUAAUACCCAUCACUUUGUGUGAAUUUUCUGAUGUCACCUUUACAGUAAGACAUGCCAUGGUUAAGGCGUUAUAUUUCUGCCUUGGUGCAUGGACAGAUAAUAGUUUGGUUUUAUUUUUGCGGUGAAAAGCUCUAAUCAAUACUUCUCCUUUGUUUCAGAUGAUAGUAAAAAAAGAAGAAUACUCUGUCUUCGUUCCUGAUGCCGCCAAGUCAUCAAUAAGGAAAUGCCAGAUUGAUGGGCUUCAUUGGUCAAUAGUGAAGUUAAGUGAACAGUAUGGAUGAUCAAUAUACUUUAGAUUUCCUUUUUCCCCAUUACAUUGGCUCUUUUCUAUUUGUUGUCAUACAUAUUGACACCACUUGAAUCAAUGAUAUACUGAAAUUGUUCCCGUCAUUUGACAAGGUUUGUACUGAGUUUUGAAAACGACAUUGUAUUCAAUAAUUUGAGCAAUUGAGAACUAUCAUUCAUGUCAA
This is a long non-coding RNA of Lolium rigidum, 1812 nucleotides long. RefSeq lists it as uncharacterized. The transcript has 4 exons. NCBI's taxonomy places the organism in Eukaryota, Viridiplantae, Streptophyta, Magnoliopsida, Poales, Poaceae. The record is from RefSeq and is a predicted model, not a curated record.